This 127-nucleotide small nuclear RNA is filed under the name Panthera tigris altaica (Amur tiger). RNAcentral describes it as "U4 spliceosomal RNA (ENSPTIG00000001618.1)". The stretch from base 1 to 72 matches the Rfam family "U4 spliceosomal RNA". From Rfam's summary of the family: U4 small nuclear RNA (U4 snRNA) is a component of the major U2-dependent spliceosome. The structure of U4 snRNA from yeast and human has been reported. U4 snRNA presents a k-turn RNA motif in the 5p-SL related to recognition of Snu13 protein. The record is from RNAcentral. Lineage: Eukaryota; Metazoa; Chordata; Mammalia; Carnivora; Felidae.
AGCUUUGCGCAGUGGCAGUAUCGUAGCCAAUGAGGUUUAUCCGAGGAGCGAUUAUUGCUAAUUGAAAAAAAGGAAACCCAUCUAUAUGCAGCCUACAAGAGGCUUAUUUCAGACGUAAAGCCAUAUG